This 242-nucleotide ribosomal RNA is filed under the name uncultured bacterium. RNAcentral describes it as "partial 16S ribosomal RNA". It matches the Rfam family "Bacterial small subunit ribosomal RNA", at positions 67 to 339 of the family's 1533-position model. The record is from RNAcentral.
CGGCUCUUCGGAGCAGUGGCGCACGGGUGAGUAACGCGUGGGAACCUACCCUGAGGUUCGGAAUAACGGCUGGAAACGGCCGCUAAUACCGGAUGUCCCCUGAGGGGGAAAGGCUUGCCGCCUUGGGAGGGGCCCGCGUCCGAUUAGCUAGUUGGUAGGGUAACGGCCUACCAAGGCGACGAUCGGUAGCUGGUCUGAGAGGAUGAUCAGCCACACUGGGACUGAGACACGGCCCAGACUCC